Cheilinus undulatus (humphead wrasse) is the source of this 1815-nucleotide long non-coding RNA. RefSeq lists it as uncharacterized. Lineage: Eukaryota; Metazoa; Chordata; Actinopteri; Labriformes; Labridae. The transcript has 13 exons. The record is from RefSeq and is a predicted model, not a curated record.
GUCUAAAUAAGCAUGGCUGCUGUAGACGAAAUUAAACGACUUGAAUGUUUAUAAGGUGUGCACGGAGCUGGAGAAUCAUCUGGGUAUCAUCGAAAAAGAUUCGGCUGAAUUUAUCAUCAGUCUUGUUGAAAAAUAUCCAACAUUUGAGGAGUUUAAAAAAGUCUGGUCUGAAAAUGGAGCAGAGUUUACAGACGCACUUACUUACUGGAGUUAUUCACACCAUCUGACCCAAACCAUCCAUAAGUGAAGCUCAACAGAAAGAAGUCAAAUCCCCGAGUGAAAAAGACAAGAUAAAGGAUGAAUAUCCUGCUUUAUGUAAAGCAGAUGAUCCUGUGUGGACGAUCCCAUUGUAUCAACCAGAUAAAAUGAUGAGCAGGUCGCAGCAGCCAUGAAGGAGCUGGUGAUGCUUCUGCCAAACUUCAGUGGGACAAACUCUGAAAAAAGUCAGCCCAGCCUUCACAAAGUGACAGAGUUAUAGAAAGUCAAAGUGGAUGCAAGCAAAUCCCUUCCAGAUCCAGAGAUGGUGACAGAGAAGCAAACCCCAAGUGUAGAAGGAAGCAGGCGUCAAGCUGGAGUGACCAUCCACCAAGCCGCAACAGAGCCGUCAACAGCAACAACAAUAAGGACGACGGAGACUCAGAUCAACGGCAGGAGGAUUGACCACCCCCAGAAGAGCCCGUUGUGGGCGACAUCUACAACGGCAGAAGCAGCAGCCUUAUGCAGUUUGGCUGUUUUGUUCAGCUAGAGGGUCUUAGAAAACACUGGGAAGGCCUCGUACACAUCUCAGAGCUGCGUAGAGAGGGAUGUAUUUAUUGUCUGCCCUAAUUGGUGGAACUAAUCCAGAAGGCCCCCUCUCUCCCAGGCAGCCAUGAGGCAGAGCGCUCUCUCUAAGGAGAGGAGGGAGCUGAAGCAGGCGGCUCGUGCUGCAAAGUUGGACUCCAUCCCAACCGGGCUCAACAAGCACUGGAUAGACCCCAUACCUGACUAUGAAGGAAGGCAGAUCGCUGCCAACAUGAGAGGCAGUGGAGCGACGCCCCUCGAUCUUCCAGAGUGGAAAAGAUCCACCUUUGGAGGGAGCCAGGUGUCAUAUGGGAGGAAGACAGAAAUGUCCAUACUGCAGCAGAGAGAGAGCCUGCCUAUAUUUAAGCUUAAGGAACAGCUUGUUCAGGCUGUUCAUGACAACCAGAUCCUAAUUGUGGUUGGAGAAACCGGCUCUGGUAAGACCACACAGAUCACUCAAUACAUGGCAGAGGCUGGCUACACUGCCGGGGGAAGGUCGGCUAUACGCAGCCUUGACGUGUAGCAGCUAUGUCAAAUCGCCAAGAGAGUCUCUGAGCAGUACGGCUGCUGCCUGGGUCAAGAGGCGAUGGGCAUCAACGACCUUCUUGCAUUCGACUUCAUGGACGCUCCUCCCAGUGAGACUCUGAUAACAGCCAUGGAGCAGCUCAACUCACUGGGAGCUCUGGAUGAUGAAGGCUUACUCACACGGCUUGGGAGAACGAUAGCUGAGUUUCCUCUGGAGCCGAUGUGUAAAAUGCUGAUCAUGUCCGUCCAUCUGGGCUGCAGUGAAGAGAUGCUCACCAUCCUGUCAAUGCUGUCUGUGCAGAACGUCUUCUACAGACCAAAGGACAAACAGGCCCUCGCUGACCAAAAAAGACCAAGUUCUUCCAGCCUGAAGGAGACCACCUCACACUGCUGGCUGUCUACAACUCCUGGAAGAACAACAAGUUUUCCAACCCCUGGUGUUUUGAGAACUUUAUUCAAGCGUGAUCGCUGCAGAGGGCUCAGGACAUCCGAAAACAGAUGCUGAGCAUC